CAAAAAGACCGGAGUUGGACCCAAAGAGGGGGCAACCCAAGAGUUGAGACAAUGGAAGCUGUGAAUACCAGGAGACCCAAAGGAGACUGCACCACUGAAUCUCCCAGGUAUUCUACCACAGACAUUCACACCAUAAAACCAGGGAGCCAGAACAUGUCAACUUAAGAGGCAGAGAAUAACAAGAAGAGUCUCAUAAACAAUGGGAAGACAAAGAAACAAUCCCCAAAUGAAGGGAAAGGAAGAAGCCUCAGAAA
Long non-coding RNA from Phyllostomus discolor (pale spear-nosed bat), 254 nucleotides. RefSeq lists it as uncharacterized. Lineage: Eukaryota; Metazoa; Chordata; Mammalia; Chiroptera; Phyllostomidae. The transcript has 2 exons. The record is from RefSeq and is a predicted model, not a curated record.